UGAGGAAUAUUGGUCAAUGGGCGCAAGCCUGAACCAGCCAUCCCGCGUGCAGGAAGAAAGCGCUAUGCGUUGUAAACUGCUUUUCCAGGGGGCGAACGUUUCGUACGUGUACGGGAGUGACGGUACCUUGGGAAUAAGCAUCGGCUAACUCCGUGCCAGCAGCCGCGGUAAUACGGAGGAUGCGAGCGUUAUCCGGAUUUAUUGGGUUUAAAGGGUGCGUAGGCGGAUUAAUAAGUCAGUGGUGAAAGCCUGCAGCUUAACUGUGGCACUGCCGUUGAUACUGUUAGUCUUGAGUAUGGUCAAGGUAGGCGGAAUGUGUAAUGUAGCGGUGAAAUGCUUAGAUAUUACACAGAACACCGAUUGCGAAGGCAGCUUACUGGGCCGUUACUGACGCUGAUGCACGAAAGCGUGGGGAUCGAACAG
This 423-nucleotide ribosomal RNA is filed under the name uncultured bacterium. RNAcentral describes it as "bacterial SSU rRNA". It matches the Rfam family "Bacterial small subunit ribosomal RNA", at positions 355 to 775 of the family's 1533-position model. The record is from RNAcentral.